RNAcentral lists this long non-coding RNA (651 nucleotides) under Homo sapiens (human). RNAcentral describes it as "non-protein coding LRRC75A-AS1:55". Lineage: Eukaryota; Metazoa; Chordata; Mammalia; Primates; Hominidae. The record is from RNAcentral.
UUGUUAUGGAGGUAGGCUCUCUAGGAAUCUGGGAGUAGUAGCUGGGGGGCAAGAGCAAAUAAAGAGCUCGAGCUUCUGUGGUCUCUGGGGAGAUGUUCCCGGGAAGCCUGUCUAGAGGGCGGAGGGCAGCUGUUGAGAUGGCGUGGCUCCCCGGCUCCUGCGCCCGCGUGGCUUUCGCGGCGGGCGCUGCGGCCCGGUAUUGGACAGCCUGGCAGGGCAGCGCGGGGCCGAAUCCGGCUGCCGUGGCUGAGGCUCAUGGAUCACUCUUUUGUGGUAGGGCCACAUCUGCCAGAGCCUGGAGUCUGCGAAGGCCGGGACCCGGUUCCCCGGCCCACAGUGGGGGUGUGCAAACCCGAGAGAACUGGGUUGCAAAUUCGUGAAGAAUCAGCAUCAUGUUUGGCAGCUGAGUAUUGGAGCCAGGAGCCUGCCAUGAGGUUUUGAGAACAGAGUGCUGUUUUAGAGCUGGCAGCAGCAUCUCAGCCCAAGAGAAGGUUAUAUUCCCAGAGGAUGUCAGUCCCAAGGACCAGUAGCUGCCAUCAGUUUGGAUUCUGAAAACUAACUGGCAUCAACACUGGGUGUAGAAACAUGCUUGCCUUAUGUAUCAGAGGACAUGCUCAGCAGAUCCAAGAGAUAUAUUUGGCAACUUUUUCU